RNAcentral lists this ribosomal RNA (125 nucleotides) under Brevibacillus agri BAB-2500. Its description in RNAcentral is "partial 23S ribosomal RNA". It matches the Rfam family "Bacterial large subunit ribosomal RNA", at positions 1 to 125 of the family's 2925-position model. The record is from RNAcentral. Lineage: Bacteria; Bacillati; Bacillota; Bacilli; Caryophanales; Paenibacillaceae.
GGUUAAGUUACUAAGGGCACACGGUGGAUGCCUUGGCGCUAGGAGCCGAAGAAGGACGCAGCGAACUGCGAUAAGCCUCGGGGAGCGGUAAGCACGCUUUGAUCCGGGGAUCUCCGAAUGGGGCA